This 78-nucleotide microRNA precursor is filed under the name Schistosoma curassoni. Its description in RNAcentral is "mir-3492 microRNA precursor family". It matches the Rfam family "mir-3492 microRNA precursor family". Lineage: Eukaryota; Metazoa; Platyhelminthes; Trematoda; Strigeidida; Schistosomatidae. The record is from Rfam by way of RNAcentral.
AGCUUUUUGAAUAUGUGCUGAGGUUUCGUCCGAUACCAGCCCAUCAGGGUUGAUCAGACUUCCAAAAUAAGUGAAGUU